GAGGGCUAUUACAGACCUUGCAGUGUCCUGGGAUUUGCCUGGUGUGACAUCAGAGAACAGAAGAUGGCUGCUUGACAAACUGCUCAUUCAUGCAGUCCUUGAAAGAACCUCCAAGCAAGUAAAGCAGCUACGGCGGGGUUUGAAGAAAAACAUUGAUCUGGCCUUUGGUGUCUGAGAGGAAAGACACUAUUCCUCUUCUCUUUCCUAGGACUUGUGAUACAGUGUACACCCCACUAAUGAAUUUAGAGAGGAUAAUUUGGCCAACACAUGAUGAAGACAGUGAGGCCUCUCUUGAAGACACAUGUAGGCUCACCGGAUUCCUUCGCACCUUCAUCGGAAAUUCUUCUUAUAAUAUCUUGCGUUUUCUAAUAAAAUUCUGGACUGGAUGGGAUGUGCUGCCCAGGAGCCUAGAUGUUGAGGUGGUGGAUGGAAACCUACCCAGUCAACGGGUACUAAACUACCAUUUGUCAAGA
Long non-coding RNA from Sinocyclocheilus anshuiensis, 473 nucleotides. RefSeq lists it as uncharacterized. NCBI's taxonomy places the organism in Eukaryota, Metazoa, Chordata, Actinopteri, Cypriniformes, Cyprinidae. The record is from RefSeq and is a predicted model, not a curated record. The transcript has 4 exons.